Long non-coding RNA from Lemur catta (Ring-tailed lemur), 3372 nucleotides. RefSeq lists it as uncharacterized. NCBI's taxonomy places the organism in Eukaryota, Metazoa, Chordata, Mammalia, Primates, Lemuridae. The transcript is spliced from 11 exons. The record is from RefSeq and is a predicted model, not a curated record.
GGACGCCGGACGUUGUCCUGGAGACAUUUGCCAAAUAUUUGUUUUCCCCUUAAAGGGUGCAGGGUGCAAACCAUUCCGUGAAGCCUUCUCCAGACGAAGUCAGGACUCUGACUGAUUUAACACUCAGUCAGUUUCUCGGCACCUUCCUGCCUCUCUCGCCCCUGCCCUCCUCUCCUCACUCCCUCCUCAGUCUCUCUCUCUCCCUCCCUCCCCUCUUCUCUCCCCGCUCCUGCCCCUGGCUCUGUACCUAUACCAUGCGGAUUAUUUACAGCAAAUCUUACAGAUGUCAGUAUUGUCUUGUUCUGAAGCCAAAAAGGACAAUGAGUUCCCGCUGACCUCGGUACAAUGGAUCUCGCUGGAGCACAAUAUGUAUUUUAUACGGGCAGUGAAAAGCCUACAAGUAAUUGAGAGAGAGAGAAAUGUCACUGGCGUUUCUGUUGACACUGCACUCUGUGGAGGGAAGCCCAGGGCCUGGCGGGGCAGGAGCCGCCGCAGCCGUGCUGUGUACCCAGGAACUUGUCCUUUAGGAAGGAUGAGGCAGAGGAAAUUAAUCUGCUCAGAUUUUCCAACUAAUGGAAUAUUCCCAGGACUGGAGAGGCCACGAGAAGUCGUCUGCGGCACGGUUUUCCAUUCGCGCGGGCAAGCGCACAGCAACACUGAGAAUAAUUAUUUGCUGCCAUCCAUCAAGUGUCUACGUAGUUGGCGCCUCGUGGGAUGGCCUUGAUUUCGAGCGUGGAACGUAACUCUUGCUCCCUGGGGCCAUUCCGUCCUCUGUCCCCGGGCUCUGCAGUGGGUGGUCUGGACACUGCGGAGCAGACCUUCCUCCGAGGAGCAGCUGCAGUGCCCGAGCUGUGUCCCUGGCCCGUCCGUUCCGGGGCCCUGGAGAUGAGUUUAUUCCUCCAACAAGCAUCUGCAUGCCUGCCGAGGGCCAGGCGCUCUUCUCAGCUCCGGGGAUGUCACCGUGAGCAGGACCAGUGAUGCCCCUCCCCAGUGGCGUUUCCGUCUCGGUGGGGAAGAAGGGGCUGAUGGAGCCUCAAUGUCGUCAUUCUUUGUAACCUCUGCUUCACCCUCUCUGGCUGCACGUCACAGAAUAUGCAGGAGGGACAUCACUUCCAGAGAGUGCCUCAUCUGUCUAUACAAGGCUCAGAAAGGAGACGGUAUUGUUACAGCGGCCCAAACAGACCGAGGCAGAGGCUAUCCGAGGUGUAGCAGGUAGAGGUCUGGGUGUCAGAGUGCUGGUCCGUGUUCGUUCCGAAGUCUCUCCCCACGGCCUGCCCACGCCCCGUGGUGCUGACAUCCUGUGUUUACUCUGGGAAGAAGAAAGUGUCACCCUGUGAGGUCACCCUGUGAGCUGGCCCCUGAAGGUGCAGCUCUCUCGCGGCCCGGGCGGAAGUGGCACCAUUGGGGCAGGAGGUGCUGCCGACAAACGCGCCACGUGAGCCAUCCUGGCGCGUCCUGGCAGGGGACGCUGCCCUCAGCCCUGUGUGCUUCCUACUGGCCUGUGUGUCGUCUCUAGUGUUCACGCCACGAGUCCUUUCUCAGGGUCAGUCCUUUGUGUGUCCUGCUCGAGAAACAUUUGCCUGUCCCAGGUCCACAGAGAUGGCGUCCUGUGUUUUUCCAGAAGUUGUAUAGUUUUGGCUUUUAUGGUUAGCUCUGUCACACGUCUCAGAUUGUUUCCUCUACGUGAUGUAAGGGUUGAGGGUUGUUUUUCUCCCUGAAUGGAUGUCCGUUGCUUUCGAGAAUAUUUCCUUUUCCAUUGAAUCGUGCCUUGUCAAAACUCAGGGGACAGCACAUGGAGGAGUCUUUUCCCUGGACUCUGGUUCUGUCCCGCGGAUCUGUCUGUCCUUGUGCCAGUGCCACAGUGUCUCACUUACCACGGCUGUUUAACAGAUACAGGACUCCUGGGAUUUUCCACACCACCUUUCGUCUGUUUUGCUUUCUCUUCUCUCUCUCCUGGUGGCUCCGUCCCACACUGGCCCUGGGUUCUGCCAACCUCAUGACAGUACACUGUGCAGUGAAGAAUUUGGUCCCUUCUAGGCGGAAACAUGACUCUCAGGUUUGGUCUUGGCUCACGAGCCGCGCCCCAUGGUGGCCGAGUGAGCUGCGCUGACGCCGGGUUGUUCACAGCCCUCCUUCUGCACGGGGUUGGGAGGUGACGUGGUCGACUGGGGCAGCUUGGUGUGGGGGACACCCCUGUUCCUUUGUGACCCUUCGUUUCUUGUUCAGCCAACGCCUCUAACUCUGUUACUCAUUCUGAGUCUGCCACCAAAGUUAUCAAUCACCUUUAUUUUCCUCCUCUUUGUCCCAUCCUGCGGCCGCCCCACCCCUGUCCCCUUGCCAGCAGGAACAGAAGCUGACUUUCACUGAGCCCUGUGGGUACCUGCUGAGGUACCCUUGCAGCCCAGACCCCAUGCUGCCCUCCCAGCCCUGCACCAUGUGACCAGCUCAGUGUGCCUGCCCACUGUCCCUGCCGACAUUGGAGAUGCUGCAUGGACUUGAGAGGCACCUGUGCACACAGGCAUCGUGGUCCCCUCCUACCGCCCCAUGUGUGGACCACACGUUGACACGAGGAAGCCCGUGGGAAGUGCAGGGAAGCGGCUCUGCACAGGCCUCCUGGUGGUUGCACAGGUCCUGAGAGGAAUGAACCUCUGCCCCCGGCGUUGGGAGCAUGGAUGUGUGGCAUUGGGCAUGUCCUGCAGUGAGGCCUCCUGAGCCCCAGCUGACCUCCACUGGGCAAGCCGGUUCCCAGCUACGGCCUGGCCAGUGGCCUCGGCAGAGUUGGGCAACUUGGUUGUGCUCUCCCCAGGGAAUGUGAUUUCUCCUUGCACUCAUGUGUCCUCGUGACCUCCCUGGACUGCAGCUUCACCCCCUAGGCGCGGCCCUGGCGCAGAGCUGCGUGAGAGGCCCGGAGCAGACAACGUGGAGAAAUUGCUCCGUAGACCACCAGGUGCCGUGAGGUGACGGGGAGCCGGGCACUCCUGGCACCAGUUCCGAGUGGGAAGGAGGUGACUUGUCGGGCGACACCCUCUCCAGCCCCAGCCUCCGGCACCUUGGGAGGGGCCGGCAGCGGCGGGCUGCGGGUUUGCACCCACAAGCCUCUUUGCUGUCUCUCUAAGGCUGAAAUAAGGACCCGAUUGUGACUGACAGGAGAAAAAGGCGCGAUGACCGAGGGCUCAUGUCAUCAUGGAAGGUUCUCCUAUAGAUCCUUGUCAUUUCGCCCAAGACACAGAUUCAGAACCAAGGAUGUGCAAAUGAAACCCCUGAUGUAACUUCUGGGUGUGUAUAGCUGGUCAUUUUAAUAAUCAAAACAAAAUUACCAAAAGUGAAAUUCACAGACAAGAAAUACUUUAAUUAAAUAUUGUGUAAAAUGAA